Molecule: long non-coding RNA, 612 nt
Organism: Mustela lutreola (European mink)
Lineage: Eukaryota; Metazoa; Chordata; Mammalia; Carnivora; Mustelidae
Exons: 4
Source: RefSeq, a predicted model, not a curated record
GCAGGCACCGCUGGGAAGCUCUGGGGGUGUGUAAGCCGCUGCGGUUUCCUGGGCUGAGGACUGGAAAGCGAGGGCUGAAAAAGCCUGUUUUUCAGGCAGUCCCUGACCUCUACAUCUGAAACCUCAGCAUAAAGGACAACAAAGAAUGUCAGGAAAUGGCAAAUGACAAGACCUGCCAGCUACCAGCUUGAGAGAAGUCAGCGACCUGCAGGAUGUCAUUCCAGGCAUGCUGGUGAGGGAAAAAAAAAAAAGCUUUGCCGAAUCCCAAAGGAGAUGUACUUUACAAGUCACAGCUUACCAAUGAAGUAACUGAGACUCAAAAACCUCAAGCGCAGAAGUUCAUCUAAAAACUCUUUGAUCUAUAACCCAGGGACCAAAUUGAAGACUAUCUGCAUUUUUUGCAAGACUCUGUAUCUGUGCCAAGUUCCGGUGCCCUGCCGUGCUUUUAUGUCUGCUCUGACAGCCUCCUGGCUGUCCUCUGAGCAGGCUUGUCUCAUCUCCAGUGUCCCCUGACACUCCAGUUUCUUCAUGCUCCUCGUCCUUCCUUGGGCUUUUAUUCAACAGUUUGAAACUCUCUAAAAACAAAACCCUUCUAUUUAAUAUUGAAAGCAU